GAUGAACGCUGGCGGCGUGCCUAAUACAUGCAAGUAGAACGCUGAAGGAAGGAGCUUGCUCUUUCCGGAUGAGUUGCGAACGGGUGAGUAACGCGUAGGUAACCUGCCUGGUAGCGGGGGAUAACUAUUGGAAACGAUAGCUAAUACCGCAUAACAGUAGAUGUUGCAUGACAACUAUUUGAAAGGGGCAAUUGCUCCACUCCCAGAUGGACCUGCGUUGUAUUAGCUAGUUGGUGAGGUAACGGAUCACCAAGGCGACGAUACAUAGCCGACCUGAGAGGGGGAUCGGCCACACUAGGACAGAGACACGGCCCAGGCUCAUGAGGGAGGAAGCAGUAGGGAAUACUAGGAAAAGGACGGAAGUCUGACCGAGCAACGCCGCGUGAGUGAAGAAGGAUAUCGGAUCGUAAAGCUCUGUUGUAAGAGAAGAACGAGUGUGAGAGUGGAAAGUUCACACUGUGACGGUAUCUUACCAGAAAAGUACGGCUAACUACGUG
RNAcentral lists this ribosomal RNA (497 nucleotides) under uncultured bacterium. Its description in RNAcentral is "partial 16S ribosomal RNA". It matches the Rfam family "Bacterial small subunit ribosomal RNA", at positions 28 to 507 of the family's 1533-position model. The record is from RNAcentral.